RNAcentral lists this long non-coding RNA (1080 nucleotides) under Anser brachyrhynchus (Pink-footed goose). RNAcentral describes it as "lncRNA (ENSABRG00000011657.1)". Lineage: Eukaryota; Metazoa; Chordata; Aves; Anseriformes; Anatidae. The record is from RNAcentral.
AUGCUGAGCGCUGGGGGUGGGCAGCACCCAGCAGGGACACCACGUGCUCGGUGGGGAGCAAGCGGGGUGGGGGGAUGCUGGGGGCUUGGGGGCAUCCUGCACACCCACCACGGAUGCCCAGCACCCAUUUGGCAAGCCCAAACACCCACCAGAGUUGCCCAAGCACCCAUUUGGGAUGCUCAGCACCCAUCAGAGAUGCACAGCACCUACUGGGGAUGCCCAGCACCCAUUUGGGACGCCCAGCACCCACCGGGGAUGCCCAGCACCCCCCUGGCACCCUCGGGCUCCCGAAGCCCGUACCUGGUAGGUGACGCCGCGGGGGAAGUACUCCAUGAACUCAUCGGACUCGUUGCCCUGCACCUCGCGGUGGGUGACGGGGCGCUCGCCCAGCGCCGCGUUCAGCUGGGUGCAGAGGAGGGCGCAGGCGCCCUGCUCGUCCCGCGACGCCUCCCGGCCUGCGGCGGGGAGCGGGGGCGGCUCAGCGGGACCCCCCCACACAUAUUGCCCCCCCCCAGCCCCGUGCUCACCGAUCCAGAGGUGCAGGUGGGCUCGCUCCUCGGGCCCCAGGUGCAGCACCAGGUAGGCGUCCCCCGAAAAAAAGGUGCCCCAAGAGGCCUCCGGCACUGGCACCGGGCGCAGCUUCUCCACCCGCCAGAUGUGCAGCCCCGGGCGGGUGGGCACGGGGCCGAAGGGGGAGCCGCUGCGGGGAGGGGGGUGUCAGGGGGGGUUUGGAGGGGGAGUGGGGUUUUUUUGGGGGGUCGGUACCUUUUGGGGAGCGCCGUGUACAUGGUGGCGGGGAGGCGGCGGGGAGAGCGGUGGUCUGAGAGCGGGUGGUCCUGCGGGGAGAGGGGACGCGGCGAUGGACAGAUGGACAGACGGGAGGGCAGACGGACAACCAGAAGGAGCGGGGGGCACCCCAACAGGUGGAUGGAUGGACAGACAGCCAGAAGGAUGGACAGACAACCCCCCCCUCCCGACAGACAGCUGGGCACCCCAAUGGGUUGGUGGGCGCCCCGAUGGACAGACGGACGCCCCAGUGAGUGGACACCCAGGAGGACAGACAGACGGACAGCCCGAUAG